This 443-nucleotide ribosomal RNA is filed under the name uncultured bacterium. Its description in RNAcentral is "partial 16S ribosomal RNA". It matches the Rfam family "Bacterial small subunit ribosomal RNA", at positions 338 to 795 of the family's 1533-position model. The record is from RNAcentral.
CCUACGGGAGGCAGCAGUGGGGAAUAUUGGGCAAUGGGCGCAAGCCUGACGCAGCAACGCCGCGUGAAGGAAGAAGGCUUUCGGGUUGUAAACUUCUGUUCUGAGGGACGAAGAAAGUGACGGUACCUCAGGAAUAAGCCACGGCUAACUACGUGCCAGCAGCCGCGGUAAUACGUAGGUGGCAAGCGUUAUCCGGAUUUAGUGGGUGUAAAGGGCGGGUAGGCGGGAAAGCAAGUCAGAUGUGAAAACUCAGGGCUCAACCCUGGGACUGCAUUUGAAACUGUUUUUCUUGAGUGUUGGAGAGGCUAUCGGAAUUCCGUGUGUAGCGGUGAAAUGCGUAGAUAUACGGAGGAACACCAGUGGCGAAGGCGGCUUGCUGGACAGUAACUGACGCUGAGGCGCGAAAGCGUGGGGAGCAAACAGGAUUAGAUACCCCAGUAGUC